RNAcentral lists this ribosomal RNA (378 nucleotides) under Strombidium sp. RNAcentral describes it as "partial large subunit ribosomal RNA". It matches the Rfam family "Bacterial large subunit ribosomal RNA", at positions 2095 to 2472 of the family's 2925-position model. Lineage: Eukaryota; Ciliophora; Spirotrichea; Strombidiidae. The record is from RNAcentral.
GAAGCUUUACUGUAUCUUGGAAUUGGGUUUGGGCUUUGCUUGCGCAGGAUAGGUGGGAGGCUUUGAAGAUAUUCUUGCGGGAAUAUUGGAGCCAAUGGUGAGAUACCACUCUAGUAAGGUUAAAAUUCUAACUUCGAACCGUUAUCCGGUUGGGGGACAGUUUCAGGUGGGCAGUUUGACUGGGGCGGUCUCCUCCCAAAAGGUAACGGAGGAGUUCAAAGGUUCCCUCAGGCUGGUCGGACAUCAGUCGUAGAGUGCAAAGGCAUAAGGGAGCUUGACUGCGAGACCUACAAGUCGAGCAGAGACGAAAGUCGGCCUUAGUGAUCCGACGGUUCCGAAUGGAANGGCCGUCGCUCAACGGAUAAAAGUUACUCUAGG